RNAcentral lists this transfer RNA (67 nucleotides) under Marmota monax (woodchuck). RNAcentral's name for it is "tRNA.Ala". The record is from RNAcentral. Lineage: Eukaryota; Metazoa; Chordata; Mammalia; Rodentia; Sciuridae.
GGUUUUAGCUCAGUGGUAGAGCACAUGCUUAGCAGAUGCAAGGCCCUAGGUUCAAUUCCUAGCACCA